RNAcentral lists this ribosomal RNA (520 nucleotides) under uncultured bacterium. Its description in RNAcentral is "bacterial SSU rRNA". It matches the Rfam family "Bacterial small subunit ribosomal RNA", at positions 29 to 526 of the family's 1533-position model. The record is from RNAcentral.
AACGAACGCUGGCGGCGUGGUUGAUACAUGCAAGUCGAACGGGAAAGGUGGCUUCGGCCAUCGAGUACAGUGGCGGACGGGUGAGUAACGUAUGAUCAAUCUGCCCUCAAGAUCAGGAUAGCCAUCCGAAAGGAUGGGUAAUACUGGAUAAGCCCACGGCAAGGCAUCUUGACGUGUGAAAAGGAUUGGGAUCUUCGGACCUUUCGCUUGAGGAUGAGAUCAUAACCUAUCAGUUUGUUGGCGGGGUAACGGCCCACCAAGACGACGACGGGUAGCCGGCCUGAGAGGGUGGACGGCCACACUGGAACUGAGACACGGUCCAGACUCCUACGGGAGGCAGCAGUGCUGAAUUAUUCGCCAAUGCGCGAAAGCGUGACGGUGCGACGCCGCGUGCGGGACGAAGGCCUUCGGGUUGUAAACCGCUGUCAGGGAUUAGAAAACCAAUUCGGUUAAUAGCCGGGUUGCUGAUCAGUCCCAAAGGAAGCACAGGCUAAUCUCGUGCCAGCCGCCGCAGUAAAAC